This 1223-nucleotide long non-coding RNA is filed under the name Linum usitatissimum (flax). Its description in RNAcentral is "long non-coding RNA (LUSI_LNC005326)". The record is from RNAcentral. Lineage: Eukaryota; Viridiplantae; Streptophyta; Magnoliopsida; Malpighiales; Linaceae.
CCCAACAACCUUCCACCGCCUCGCCGCCAACCAUCCACAUCUCUCUCACCUUCAAGCAGUUGUCGUUGUACUUCUGGUAAAGAAGCCCGUGUUUGCCCAAUGGUGGUGAUCUUGUUCAAGAAGCCCGUGUUUGCCCUAGAUCUAAAGAUGAAUGAGGAGGAGAAGAAGCUGCUCGAUUCCAGCAACAGAUUCAGAUGUGAUAGAGCUAUUCGAAGGAUUGUGUAAGGGCACCCAAUCCAACCUUUCUUCCUAAUUUUGGCAUCGCCUCACGCGGGAGGACGGUAACCUGAAUAGCCCGACGGAGUCCGCAGAUUUUAGUGUGCCGACAAUCGUGAAGCUAGAGUAUGAAGAUUACUACAACGAGGUUAGAAUUAGGUAUGUUAUGGGCAUCUUUGGAUGGUUCAGAUGCAGUACGAGGCCUUGAUUGAGAAGUUUGGUGCUAGCCCUUUGAUUGUGUGAGUACCGUCAAAUAUUUGGAUGAGGUUCGUCACUGUAACUGGCAUGUUUAAUUAUAAUUAGGCUGAUGACAUUGUGCAGGAAUCUGAUUCUCAAAUCCUUUAAGGCGAAUGGGACAAAGGUAACCGUGCAGCUGGCAGAUUCGUGAUUUCGGUGGUGGAGACGGAGGCAGAGUUCACAGUGGCAGUGGAGAGUCAGGUGAAUGAACUUAUGACGGAGUGGGAGAGCGAUGGGCUGCUGAGGAUGGUGGUUGUGGAGAAUAAGCCGCCGCAAGAGGUUUGUAUGGUGAGGGAGAUGAGCCGAUUGGUGGUGGAGGUGAAGGGUGGUGGCGGUGAAGAGUCGCGGCGGGGUUGAUCACAGUUGGGGUGAUCGGAGUAAGUGAAUAAAAUUUUGGGUUUUCUAUUUUUAUUUUUAUGUUUAGUAUGUUUAUUUUAAUGUAUUAUUAAAAAGUACCACAUAAGUAGCCAACUAGAUUGGUUUGUACAAUCAACUAACUCUGUAAGUGCUAUGUAGAAUAACGACAGAAAAGGAGGUUAUGUAUAGAUUCGUAAACUACUUUAAUAAUUCGUGACAUACACUAAAUUACGUAUAUAUUGUGUAUAUUCCGGUAAUUUCCCAAUAGUUCAUGACAUUUGGCUCAUUACAAUAACGGUAUAAUCUUACCUGCAUGGAAAAGUUGGGUGUUUGAUAACACAUUAGUUUGUGGUGUACUAGUGAUCAAUGGGUAUAUGGAGAUGGAUAGGGUUUUUGUAGUGUUGUGUGGCUGG